UUUUCUUUUGAUUUCUGCUGUUAUUAUUUGGGAAUUUAUUUGUCAAUCAUUAUAGUCUUUUCCACGAUUUUGUUUCAUUGCUCUUGAUCUCUCUUUAUUUGGUUAUUUUUUUCAUUUUAUUCUUGAUACCAAAUAGAUAUGCUAGGAAACUUGAAAAAAAUGUGCAGGCCUUUUCAAAGGGCCUUAUGGUGGAGAAGUGUUGGCAAAGAGAAUGUUAUGCUGGAUUCUUGCUGUAGAAGACAUGGUCAAUGUUGGUGCAGAGACUGCGGCUGCUCUCAAGGCACAUCUUUUUGAUCUAAUAAUUUUAUUUUUUAUCAUUUAUUUAAUUGAGUAUUCAAAUCAAAUUUGUAUGACCUUUCACUUAAGCUAUUUAACUGUUCAUUAUUUUUAGACAGAACAGAUAGGUUGGAUUGCUAUGAUUUGGACUCCAUCCAUUUUUCAAUGAGGAAAGCUUCUAAAUCGGUAAAGGAACUUGAUAGACAGCUAUAGUUCUUAAAUAUUUCCAGCUUUGUAUACCAUGCUGAACUCUAACUUGUGCAGUUGAAAUGUGUUAUUGGCUGAUACGUUCUUAUCUUUAAGUUGCAACUGACCUCUGUAUUGUGAUCUUGCUCUCCAUUAUUGUCCUUGGAUUUAUAGCAAUCAUCAUUGUAAAGGUGGACAUUAAUUUGAUGCCCAUUAUUCUUGUUGUAUUUUCAUCACUAAGUGUGAUUCUUAACCAUGCUCCAUUUCAGCUUAAUCAGUGUGUGUAAAACUAUCCCAAUUAAAAUGAAAUAGACUAUUACUGCA
Long non-coding RNA from Macadamia integrifolia, 786 nucleotides. RefSeq lists it as uncharacterized. NCBI's taxonomy places the organism in Eukaryota, Viridiplantae, Streptophyta, Magnoliopsida, Proteales, Proteaceae. The transcript has 2 exons. The record is from RefSeq and is a predicted model, not a curated record.